ACAUAUCAAUCGGCGGAGGAUCAGUCGGUGCUUUCGAGACGGUUCUCUAGGUUCUCGAAUCAAUGAAGAACGCAGCGAAAUGCGAUACGUAGUACGAAACGCAAGUCGUGAAUCAUCGAAUCUUUGAACGCACAUUGCGCUGUGUGGCAUUCCACACAGCAUGCCUGUUUGAGCAAUAUUUCUCUCUCGCAAGGUGUUGGGCACCACGCCGGCAGGCGUCUGCCAGAAACGAAAUUGUCUAAAACAGUUAAGCUUGUUACAGACUCUUGAUCUUAUUCUCAAAUCAGGUAGGACUACCCGCUGAACUUAAGCAUAUCAAUAAGCGGAGGAA
Molecule: ribosomal RNA, 331 nt
Filed under: Diutina rugosa
Lineage: Eukaryota; Fungi; Ascomycota; Pichiomycetes; Serinales; Debaryomycetaceae
Description: eukaryotic LSU rRNA
Rfam family: 5.8S ribosomal RNA (bases 28-178)
Source: RNAcentral